UGUUCGGGCGGAGCGCGUGGGGUCCUCUCUCUCUCUCUCUCUCUCUGCAAGAGGCGGGAGGCAGGUCCUCUAAGGCGGAGCUGAAGGAUCCCUAUUCACUCGGGGUAGCCUAAUCCUGACCAGGGGUUUCAGGAUGGUCACCUCCGGCCCGAGAGAGGAGGAGUCGUCCUCCCGGACAAAAAGAAAAAGCGGACCGGCCAGGUGCAUCCAGCGACAGAUCAUCUGUAAAAGUGAGAAUCCACCAGACAGUGGGGUUCACAGGGGACACGGAAGGAGACUCCCCGAAGAAUUCGAGGACGGUGAACACAUUCGGGCAUCCCCUGGGCAACGGCUGCGCCCUGUCAGCUGAUCCUUCUACUCCGGAAGCACCACUGAAUUGCUCCUGACACCGGCAAAGAAGAAGCACAACAAAGGCAGUUCACAAUUUCACCUAAUUACUGGUGUUCAUUUAUAAAUGGUGUUCAUUUUA
Non-coding RNA from Pogona vitticeps (central bearded dragon), 469 nucleotides. The record is from RefSeq and is a predicted model, not a curated record. NCBI's taxonomy places the organism in Eukaryota, Metazoa, Chordata, Lepidosauria, Squamata, Agamidae.